Molecule: ribosomal RNA, 114 nt
Filed under: Mustela putorius furo (domestic ferret)
Lineage: Eukaryota; Metazoa; Chordata; Mammalia; Carnivora; Mustelidae
Source: RNAcentral
GUCUACGGCCAUACCACCCUGAACACGCCCGAUCUCGUCUGAUCUCGGAAAAUGUCAUCGGUGCAGUAACUUAUACCUCUAUAGUAAAAAUGGGAGAAAUAAAGGCCAGGAACU